AGGAUGCCACAUGCUAUUCCCUUGUACCUGGAACGCUCUUGCCCUGUGAGGAAACUGAGGCUCAGUGAUCUGCCCAAGUUGCAAAAUAGCACUUAUCAUACACCAUCAUAUGACUCUUAAUUCUG
This is a long non-coding RNA of Orcinus orca (killer whale), 125 nucleotides long. RefSeq lists it as uncharacterized. The record is from RefSeq and is a predicted model, not a curated record. The transcript is spliced from 3 exons. NCBI's taxonomy places the organism in Eukaryota, Metazoa, Chordata, Mammalia, Artiodactyla, Delphinidae.